This 720-nucleotide ribosomal RNA is filed under the name Kapsulotaenia tidswelli. Its description in RNAcentral is "partial large subunit ribosomal RNA". It matches the Rfam family "Eukaryotic large subunit ribosomal RNA", at positions 167 to 617 of the family's 3401-position model. The record is from RNAcentral. Lineage: Eukaryota; Metazoa; Platyhelminthes; Cestoda; Proteocephalidea; Proteocephalidae.
GUCCAGCAUUGAGUAUGGUCACUGGAUUUGGCCCAGAGAGGGUGAAAGGCCCGUACGGGUGGAGGUUCAGACAUGUAAGGCAGUUCACCAGGUCGACCUUAGAGUCGGGUUGUUUGGGAAUGCAGCCCAAAGCGGGUGGUAAACUCCAUCCAAGGCUAAAUACAGACACGAGUCCGAUAGCGAACAAGUACCGUGAGGGAAAGUUGAAAAGUACUCUGAAGAGAGAGUAAACAGUACGUGAAACCGCAUGCAGGUAAACGGGUGGCGUCAAGCUGCAAGCCCAGAGGAUUCAGCCGGUUAGGAUGUUGUGUAUGCGCCUGGCGCAUCUAUCAGUCAGAGUAUGAUUGGAUAGUCCACCAGUAGACGGUGGGCCUGACCGCAAGGUUGGGAUAUGUGUACCGGGUGGAUGCCGGAGCAUGCUAUCCGUCUGAGGACUGUCUAAUCGGUGCACUUUCUCUGUGGUGAACACCACGACCGGUGGUAUUGCCAGUCUGCUGUGUCCAAGUCGUGUUUGGUAGGUCCUUGUGGCCAACUGGAUGCGAUCACAGGCAAAUUUAGUAAACGGCGUAGAGGUGUUUCGGCAUCUCUGCGUGUUAUCGGCUACUAGUUGUCAACGGGCCUGCUCGAUGUUUGUUGUAACUGGCAUCGAGUGGUCUGGUGGGGCAUGGUGGUAAGAAUAACUGUGCAAGGCACCGGAGUUAUCGGCCUCAAAUGCAUUCU